AACACAUGCAAGUCGAGGGGAAACGACAUCGAAAGCUUGCUUUUGAUGGGCGUCGACCGGCGCACGGGUGAGUAACGCGUAUCCAACCUGCCCAUCACUUGGGGAUAACCUUGCGAAAGUAAGACUAAUACCCAAUGAUAUCCCACGAAGACAUCCGAAUGGGAUUAAAGAUUUAUCGGUGAUGGAUGGGGAUGCGUCUGAUUAGCUUGUUGGCGGGGUAACGGCCCACCAAGACGACGAUCAGUAGGGGUUCUGAGAGGAAGGUCCCCCACAUUGGAACUGAGACACGGUCCAAACUCCUACGGGAGGCAGCAGUGAGGAAUAUUGGUCAAUGGGCGAGAGCCUGAACCAGCCAAGUAGCGUGCAGGAUGACGGCCCUAUGGGUUGUAAACUGCUUUUAUAAGGGAAUAAAGUGAGUCUCGUGAGACUUUUUGCAUGUACCUUAUGAAUAAGGACCGGCUAAUUCCGUGCCAGCAGCCGCGGUAAUACGGAAGGUCCGGGCGUUAUCCGGAUUUAUUGGGUUUAAAGGGAGCGUAGGCCGGAGAUUAAGCGUGUUGUGAAAUGUAGAGGCUCAACCUCUGCACUGCAGCGCGAACUGGUCUUCUUGAGUACGCACAACGUGGGCGGAAUUCGUGGUGUAGCGGUGAAAUGCUUAGAUAU
RNAcentral lists this ribosomal RNA (660 nucleotides) under uncultured bacterium. Its description in RNAcentral is "bacterial SSU rRNA". It matches the Rfam family "Bacterial small subunit ribosomal RNA", at positions 50 to 697 of the family's 1533-position model. The record is from RNAcentral.